UCCCUAAAUCUCUUUUUCUUCCUAUACGUGCCUCUCUCCUCUCAGUCGCCUCCUUCAUCUUUCUCUCUAUUUCUCUCAAAUCGUCUCCUCUAUCCUCCUCUCUCACUUCCAUGGGAGACCACGACUAGACUCAUGGUGACAUGCGGUGGCUCACAACGAUGAUGUGCGGUGGUUUGCAGAGGCGGCAUAUGGUAGUCACAACAACGAUUGGUCAACGGUGGGCUGAAAGGUGAGGCUGAAUAACCCCUUUUUUUUUGUUGGGGUGGAACAAUUCAAAAUCAUGUCAUUGUGCACACACCAGUCUCUGGUUGGUCUAUCUUCAUUGUUUGGCUGCAAUAAGCUUGAGCACCAAAACCAGUCCCGGAGCCGUUUGUUCGCCACGCCGUUGCUUUUCCAUGGAAGCCGAAGAAGAUUGACAGAUGGAGCUAGCUCGGUGGGUAGUGCUCUGCCCACUGUUCUUGAGAAUCCAAGCCCACCCAAAUCAUCCUUCAAUGAGUUGAUUGAAUCAUUGAUAAGUCGUGUGGAUUUAUUAGAAUCAGAGGCUGAAGUGUCACUCAAUUUUUUGCUGAAUGGUGCUGAUGAGGCUUUGAUUAGUGCUUUUAUAGUGUUAUUGAGAGCCAAAGGAGAGACUUUCGAGGAAGAUGAGCAAGAAGAAGUGCAAGGACUAGGAAUUUCGGUGUUAACAGAGAGAGGUGCAACUGAAAGUCCAAUUGUUUUGUAAAUUGUUACAAGCUCAGUUGAUGGUCACAAGGAGAAGGAACUUAGCAUAAAAGAAUUCAAGUCGCCUUUGGAAGACCCUAAAAGAACAGAUCGUGCUCCAUAUAGGCCUCCACACUUGCGUAAAAGGGACAUUUCAGCUUGGAGUUCUCCUAGUUCCUCAGAUCAUGAAUCUUCUAGACAAGAUUUUACAUCUGAUGAUUCAGUCUUCAGCGAUAGCGAUGCAUCAGUUAAAGAUACUAACAGUGCUCUGAAAUUAAGGGUUAGAAUAGCAGCAUUGGAUUGCAUCAAGUUAAUUUAUUUCUAGGAUCUUUGUCAAGUUGAUUCUAAAUCAUUUACUACUCAAUGGACAUUGCUCUUGCCAACCUGUGAUGUAUUACAACCAAGGAAGUUUGAAGCAACUCUGAUGACAUGCUUGCUAUUUGACCCUUAUUUGAAGGUAUAUAUUGCUGCUCUUUUUUGGGAAAUUUGUUUAAGUUAAGAACCUAAAAUAUUAUGAUUUCCUUUUUUAGUGUUCCUUGCUAACUCUUGAAUCCAUGAUACCUAAGCACGGAUUGCAUCUGCCUCAACUCUGGUAGUCAUGUUGGAUGGACCUUCUUCAGUUUUUUUGCAGGUAGCAAAAUACAAGGAACCUUCAAAAUCUGUAUCUUUCACAGCACUUUCAAUUUCCUUGGGGCAUAUCUUGAUGCAGUUGCAUCCAGAUAUUCAAGAAUGACUGCUGAACUGUUGCCAACAUUUAUAACAUCUAUACAAAAAAGGAUUGAAGUCGGUUUCCUAUCAAAAAUGACCAGAAAGGUCUACUGUAUGUACAAGUAUCCAAGUCUCUACUGAGGACAUUGCGUGCGAUGAAGCAGUUGACCAUCAGGAAUUUCUAGAUGAUGAAAAAUCUCAGUCUCUGAAUCAAUCUUGUGAUUCUACAACCGUGGGACAAAUGCCAUGCUUUACCACACGACUGGAGACUAUUUUUUCUCCUUAUUUGGAGUCCAUUGAUGUUCGUAGUGAAGCAAAUAAGGACAGUGAUGCAGGUUUGAGCAUUCAAUACUAACCAAUUUCUUUAAGUUGUCUGCUGCAGUAUGUAGUGACAAGUAUCCCAACAUUUCUUGGUUAGAAGCAGAUGAAAGUGAUGAUAAUAGAAGUUCAGGUGACUAUCAAUAUUGUGAUGUGUCAGAGUUCUACAUUUCUGACGUGAUCGUGUCAGACUUUACCUUUAGCAGAACUACAUUCAAUGAACUAACGAAUCAAAUUGCUUUGCUAAUUAAGAGCAUCCAGAGCCAAACAUGCUAUUAGGUGUUCCUGAGCAAUUUUGUGUUCUACCUUUACUAGAGGACUCUAUUAGAAGCAGUAGUGCCAAUGAUGAGAAAUCAGAUGAACAAGCAAUGAUGGAUCCAAUUUCUAAUCCAAUUCAUUGCCCAAGGAAACUUCAAGAAGGAAGCUUAUAACUCUAGUACUUGAUUUGGAUGGUUAAGGCAAAGGCAAGUUGGACCAAUCCUGAGAUGGAGGGCUCCAGGGCUGAAUGUACAUAGUCAGCUGUUCGGCCGCAAUGGUCGAGGAGUGGGUCAGGACAAGGAAUGCCUAACAGUCUGUUUUGCCUUAGAGUGGCUAAUUAUUGUAUUUAAAUCUUGAAUCUUUGUAAAUGAUUCUAAUCUUGUUAUUUCUGGGAUCCCAUGUAAACAGAAAAUGUUUAUUUAAAAGAAAUGUGGCUUUUGAGACCAAAAUAUUUUAACCCUAGUUCCACUAUAGUUUUAGUAACAUGUUUUAAUUAAAUGACCUGAUUAGCAAGUCUAACACCUUUAUAAACACAUAGUGUAACAGUCUUGGCUAUCCAGGGCGUUAUAGUUUUAUUUCCUUUUUUUAACAAGUGUUAAUUUUAUGAAGAGGAACAACCUUUUCCUAUUGUUUUUACUUUCCCAUAAAGGAAUAUCUGUUUGACUAUAUAAUUGAUAUUUAACCUCCCAUUUUCAUACAUGCAGAAAAACUUGUCCAUUCUACAUUGG
RNA transcript from Humulus lupulus (European hop), 2711 nucleotides. RefSeq lists it as uncharacterized. The record is from RefSeq and is a predicted model, not a curated record. NCBI's taxonomy places the organism in Eukaryota, Viridiplantae, Streptophyta, Magnoliopsida, Rosales, Cannabaceae. The transcript has 11 exons.